RNAcentral lists this long non-coding RNA (463 nucleotides) under Monodelphis domestica (gray short-tailed opossum). RNAcentral's name for it is "lncRNA (ENSMODG00000050636.1)". Lineage: Eukaryota; Metazoa; Chordata; Mammalia; Didelphimorphia; Didelphidae. The record is from RNAcentral.
CUUAUGUGAAAAAAUUAUUACUACAUGUAAUUGGUAAGAUAAAAUAUAUUCAAACAAAUGCAAAAAAUUUUACCAUUGUUAUAGAGGAUAUAUUUUGCAUAUCAAAACUGGAAGAGGGUUUCUAUAUUGAUGGUGAGAUUCUCUAUUUAUUUUAAUUUGCAGAGGACAAUGUCUCCAUUGCUUGAAGCUCAAGAACAGUGUAGAACUUUCUAAAGCAGAACUAUAUAAUCAUGAUAAAGAGAUGGGCCCAAGUUCACAAGGAGGGAGCCAAAAUCAUUUUCAUGCGCUGAUAUUCUCAAUCAAAGCCAAGGACUCCUAUUAAAUUAAUCUAUGAUUACUCUUCAUAGAAUUUAUAUAAACAGAACCUUGAUUUGGUAACUUACUAAUUGUUCUUUCUUAGUCCAUCUUUAACUCUAACAUAUGAAUAAUAUUUGCCUAAGAAAUAAAAAUAAUAAAAUCUCCA